UGAACAGUGGCAUGCAGCGAGAUGAGGA
Molecule: non-coding RNA, 28 nt
Filed under: Homo sapiens (human)
Lineage: Eukaryota; Metazoa; Chordata; Mammalia; Primates; Hominidae
Source: RNAcentral